AUGGCCGCCACCGUGGCCGCGCGGUGGUGGGAGGACGCGGCGAUCUCGGUGGGGAUGGUUGCCGUGCAGCUUGCCGGCGCAGCAUACAUGGUGGUGCUGACGCCGAUCCUGGCGCUGGGCCUGGACCCGCUCUUCCUGGUGACGUUCGGCAGCCUCUCCACGGGGAUCCUCGCCCUCCCUUUCGCCCUCAACCUCGACAGGAACAAAUGGCCGUCGGAGCUGAGUAAUAGGUUGAUCCUUGAGUUGGUGGUGCUGUCUCUGGGAGGGGUGACUGUGUUCCAAGCCCUCAUGCUGGAUGGCAUGAAGAAGACAUCCCCCGCCAUCGCCUCCGCGAUGCUGAACCUGGCCCCGGGAUUCAUCUUCGUUGUCGCGGGCUGCCUCCGGUUUGAGAGGGUUGAUCUCAAGUGCCGGUACACAAGAGCCAAGAUAGUGGGGACCCUUCUAUGCCUGGGGGGAGCCAUCACCAUGAGCAUCCUGCAGAGCCCUGCCACUCCACAGGGCCGAAGAUCGCCAGACCUAGCAGCCUGGGUUGUCGGGUGCCUGUGCCUCCUGGGUGCGGUGCUCGUGCUGUCGGGCACAAUAAUCCUGCAGGCAGCAACCCUGAUCCGUUUCCCGGCCCCUUUUACCCUCUGCGCCAUGACCUCACUCAUCGGCGCCUUGCUGACAGGGAUGUUCCAGGUGUUUACCACAGGGAGGCUCGGCCCUGGGACGCUCCAGAUCAGCACCGGAAUAAUCCUCUCCCUUGUGUUUGUGGGUAGUCUGGUGAGCUCCGUGUCUAUCAUGUACCAGACGUGGGUGCUGGAGAAGAAGGGGCCUGUGCUCGUCUCACUGUUUAGCCCCACGCAGACCAUGGGUUCCGCAAUCUUCUCCGCCCUCUUCUUGGGACGGGUGGUGCAACCAGCAAGCAUACUAGGGAUGCUAUUUCUUUUCUCCGGCCUUUAUGCAGUUCUGUGGGCAAAGAAGAAAGAAGGCCAUGUUCUUCCUCCUGCAGACAGGGUCGUGGCAGACGAUAUAGAGAAACCACUCUUGCUUCCACGCUAG
Molecule: ribosomal RNA, 1041 nt
Filed under: Triticum aestivum (bread wheat)
Lineage: Eukaryota; Viridiplantae; Streptophyta; Magnoliopsida; Poales; Poaceae
Description: partial small subunit ribosomal RNA
Source: RNAcentral